GAUGAAGAACGUAGCGAAAUGCGAUAAGUAGUGUGAAUUGCAGAAUUCAGUGAAUCAUCGAAUCUUUGAACGCACAUUGCGGCCAUAGGUAUUCCUUUGGCCAUGCCUGUUCGAGCGUCAUUUACACCCUCAAGCCUAGCUUGGUGUUGGGCGUCUGUCCCGCCGUUCUCGCGCACGGACUCGCCUCAAAGUCAUUGGCGGCGGUCGUGCCGGCCCCCUCGCGCAGCACAUUUGCGCUUCUCGGAGGCCCGGCGGAUCCGCGCUCCAGCAAGACCUUUCACGACUUGACCUCGGAUCAGGUAGGGAUACCCGCUGAACUUAAGCAUAUCAAUAAGCGGAGGA
Molecule: unclassified non-coding RNA, 342 nt
Filed under: soil metagenome
Description: partial contains 5.8S ribosomal RNA, internal transcribed spacer 2, and large subunit ribosomal RNA
Rfam family: 5.8S ribosomal RNA (bases 1-120)
Source: RNAcentral